Molecule: long non-coding RNA, 588 nt
Organism: Carassius auratus (goldfish)
Lineage: Eukaryota; Metazoa; Chordata; Actinopteri; Cypriniformes; Cyprinidae
Exons: 3
Source: RefSeq, a predicted model, not a curated record
UUCAGUUCACAGUUGAACGUGUCCAGAUUGAAUAUGUUAUCUGUGAAAGCUGAUGAUGUUUCACAGGUCUUUCCCUUUCAUUGAAGCACUAAGCAAUGACGUCAGGUCAGGGAUGGCAUCAGAUGGAUGCUGGUGUCAGGGACGAAUGCGUGCUGUUGAUCAGCAGGGGGAGGGGUCAGGACACACCAUUACAUCAUCAUCCAGCAGCGGCAGCGACAACAUAGGCUGUGGUAUUGAUAGCAGACACAUAAACCCCUGCUCACAGCCAGCCAGCUCCGCUGACAACACUAGGCUUCCUGUGUGGUGUGGCCAGUUCAAUUCAAAUUAAAUUGCUGUAUAUUCAAGAUAGUGGGGAUUUCAGGUAAUUCCUGGUAUAUGUUCACAGGUUUCUCUUUUAUUGCACAGUGGCACAACAUAUAAAGUUAUUUUAUGAUGAGCUGCAGAUUCUGAAAUAUCAUUCUUAUUCCUAUUCCAUGAGCUACUCCAUAACACAAAGCGAAAUGAUGGGAUGAUCAUAAGAAUGUUGAGUCCCAAGCCAAUCUCUAAACCCAAUACUAAAACAUGAUUGGUUGACAAGAUUGUAGCACU